Molecule: unclassified non-coding RNA, 423 nt
Filed under: Hevea brasiliensis (rubber tree)
Lineage: Eukaryota; Viridiplantae; Streptophyta; Magnoliopsida; Malpighiales; Euphorbiaceae
Source: RNAcentral
GACUUGGGCUCUCCAACCUCAAUAACUAACUUUUGGAGUGUGGUUCUCCUAAGUUCAUAUGUAGUGCUGGAAGUGAAGAUAUUUUGAAAUUAAUUGUUUCAAGUCACGACUGAUUUUCUGAAGCAUUAAUUGCUCAAAUCAUAUAAAUAGGGUAAAGUGCAGAGAUGAAUGUGCUGAUUAUAUCUCCUACCAAAGAGCAGUAUUUUAUCCACUUCCAAUUUGGUUAUCUACAUAUUGAAUACUGAAAAUGCAAGUAACUCAACAUUUCUUUUAAAUAACAAGCAGAAACAAGUUCCAUUGGGCAACAUGAAUUUCUGCCUUAAGCUGAAGAAUGAAUGCUUUUGUAAUCUACUGACAAUGUCCACUAAAUCAUAAAAAUGCAAUUUUAGCUACCUUGCUGCACUGGUGAGAUAUAGGCAGGUC